CUAAGUUUGAUGGCGACCGGCGCACGGGUAAGUAACACGUAUCCAACCUGCCGAUGACUCGGGGAUAGCCUUUCGAAAGAAAGAUUAAUACCCGAUGGCAUAGUUCUUCCGCAUGGUGGAACUAUUAAAGAAUUUCGGUCAUCGAUGGGGAUGCGUUCCAUUAGGUUGUUGGCGGGGUAACGGCCCACCAAGCCUUCGAUGGAUAGGGGUUCUGAGAGGAAGGUCCCCCACAUUGGAACUGAGACACGGUCCAAACUCCUACGGGAGGCAGCAUG
This 275-nucleotide ribosomal RNA is filed under the name uncultured bacterium. RNAcentral's name for it is "partial 16S ribosomal RNA". It matches the Rfam family "Bacterial small subunit ribosomal RNA", at positions 79 to 353 of the family's 1533-position model. The record is from RNAcentral.